This 392-nucleotide ribosomal RNA is filed under the name uncultured bacterium. Its description in RNAcentral is "partial 16S ribosomal RNA". It matches the Rfam family "Bacterial small subunit ribosomal RNA", at positions 523 to 918 of the family's 1533-position model. The record is from RNAcentral.
AUACGGAGGAUCCGAGCGUUAUCCGGAUUUAUUGGGUUUAAAGGGUGCGCAGGCGGCCAUUUAAGUCAGCGGUUAAAUCGUGGGGCUCAACCCCAUUCUGCCGUUGAUACUGGGUGGCUUGAUUGCGGUCGAGGUUGGCGGAAUUCGUUGUGUAGCGGUGAAAUGCAUAGAUAUGACGAAGAACACCGAUUGCGUAGGCAGCUGACCAGACCGCAAAUGACGCUCAUGCACGAAAGUGCGGGGAUCGAACAGGAUUAGAUACCCUGGUAGUCCACACAGUAAACGAUGAAUACUCGCUGUUUGCGAUAUACAGUAAGCGGCCAAGCGAAAGCGUUAAGUAUUCCACCUGGGGAGUACGCCGGCAACGGUGAAACUCAAAUGAAUUGGCGGGG